Paramuricea clavata is the source of this 262-nucleotide non-coding RNA. Lineage: Eukaryota; Metazoa; Cnidaria; Anthozoa; Malacalcyonacea; Plexauridae. The record is from the annotation of a GenBank genome assembly.
GUCGUCGACUUCUCCCAAGUGUCCUUUGCGCGCCUAGUGCAUAGGUAACCCAAAACUACUCAAUGUCAAUAAACCGGAAAUAAAAACAAACAAACGUCAUAAAGUUCCAAAACAGAAAGUGAAAGACAACAAUAUAACAAACGUUACGCUGAUGAAAAGAGAAACGUUAGAGAAAGCCCAAUAAAAGUUGGCGACUACGUUUUGUGGAAGCAAGAGAGACGGAGCACAUUGUCAUCUCGCGAAACAACAACACGGUGACAUA